Molecule: long non-coding RNA, 264 nt
Organism: Alosa sapidissima (American shad)
Lineage: Eukaryota; Metazoa; Chordata; Actinopteri; Clupeiformes; Clupeidae
Exons: 3
Source: RefSeq, a predicted model, not a curated record
GCCAUUCUUUGGUCGACGUCAAGUAAUAAAGUUACGAAUUUGUGCUCCCGAUUGCUUUCCCUAUAGCCUACUUAGCCUAUCUUUCGGUCCGACUUUUUCUCUGUUUGUCAGAACAUUGCAGCAACUAAAAUGUGACCUCUCAGCUGCAGACGUGGAGCCAAUCCCUGAAGCCAUUUCCAUCAUCAGCUGCGACCUGAUUGGAGAAUCGGAUAACUGAGGCAUCUCCAACCCCCCUUGGCUCUGACUGACAAGGCCGGGAGACGU